This 402-nucleotide ribosomal RNA is filed under the name uncultured prokaryote. RNAcentral's name for it is "bacterial SSU rRNA". It matches the Rfam family "Bacterial small subunit ribosomal RNA", at positions 355 to 774 of the family's 1533-position model. The record is from RNAcentral.
UAGGGAAUAUUGCACAAUGGGGGAAACCCUGAUGCAGCAACGCCGCGUGAGUGAUGACGGCCUUCGGGUUGUAAAGCUCUGUCUUCAGGGACGAUAAUGACGGUACCUGAGGAGGAAGCCACGGCUAACUACGUGCCAGCAGCCGCGGUAAUACGUAGGUGGCGAGCGUUGUCCGGAUUUACUGGGCGUAAAGGGAGCGUAGGCGGACUUUUAAGUGAGAUGUGAAAUACCCGGGCUCAACUUGGGUGCUGCAUUUCAAACUGGAAGUCUAGAGUGCAGGAGAGGAGAAUGGAAUUCCUAGUGUAGCGGUGAAAUGCGUAGAGAUUAGGAAGAACACCAGUGGCGAAGGCGACUCUCUGGUCUGUAACUGACGCUGAGGAGCGAAAGCGUGGGGAGCGAACA